This 1306-nucleotide ribosomal RNA is filed under the name uncultured bacterium. Its description in RNAcentral is "bacterial SSU rRNA". It matches the Rfam family "Bacterial small subunit ribosomal RNA", at positions 28 to 1381 of the family's 1533-position model. The record is from RNAcentral.
AACGUACGCUGGCGGCACGCCUAACACAUGCAAGUCGAACGAAGUAGCAAUACUUAGUGGCAGACGGGUGAGUAACAUGUAGGUAUCUGCCCUUUGGCCUGGAAUAACACGAGGAAACUUGUGCUAAUACCGGAUAAGUCUUUACGGAGAAAGCUUUAUGCACCAUUGGAUGAGCCUGCACUUGAUUAGUUUGUUGGUGGGGUAAUGGCCUACCAAGACUGUGAUCAAUAGCUGAUUUGAGAGGAUGAUCAGCCACAUUGGGACUGAGACACGGCCCAAACUCCUACGGGAGGCAGCAGUGGGGAAUCUUGCACAAUGGAGGAAACUCUGAUGCAGCGAUGCCGCGUGAGUGAAGAAGGCCCUUGGGUUGUAAAGCUCUUUCGUCGGGGAAGAAAAUGACUGUACCCGAAUAAGAAGGUCCGGCUAACUUCGUGCCAGCAGCCGCGGUAAUACGAAGGGACCUAGCGUAGUUCGGAAUUACUGGGCUUAAAGAGUUCGUAGGUGGUUGAAAAAGUUGGUGGUGAAAUCCCAGAGCUUAACUCUGGAACUGCCAUCAAAACUUUUCAGCUAGGGUAUGAUAGAGGAAAGCAGAAUUUCUAGUGUAGAGGUGAAAUUCGUAGAUAUUAGAAAGAAUACCAAUUGCGAAGGCAGCUUUCUGGAUCAUUACUGACGCUGAGGAACGAAAGCAUGGGUAGCGAAGAGGAUUAGAUACCCUCGUAGUCCAUGCCGUAAACGAUGUGUGUUAGACGUUGGAAAUUUAUUUUCAGUGUCGCAGCGAAAGCGAUAAACACACCGCCUGGGGAGUACGACCGCAAGGUUAAAACUCAAAUGAAUUGACGGGGACCCGCACAAGUAGUGGAGCAUGUGGUUUAAUUCGAAGAUACGCGCAGAACCUUACCAACACUUGACAUGUUCGUCGCGACUCUAAGAGAUUAGAGUUUUCGGUUCGGCCGGACGAAACACAGGUGCUGCAUGGCUGUCGUCAGCUCGUGUCGUGAGAUGUUGGGUUAAGUCCCGCAACGAGCGCAACCCUCACUUUUAGUUGCCAUCAUUAAGUUGGGCACUCUGAAAGAACUGCCAGUGAUAAGCUGGAGGAAGGUGGGGAUGACGUCAAGUCCUCAUGGCCCUUACGUGUUGGGCUACACACGUGCUACAAUGGUAUCUACAACAGGAAGCAAGACUGCGAAGUUAAGCAAAUCCCGAAAAGAUACCUCAGUUCGGAUUGCACUCUGCAACUCGAGUGCAUGAAGCUGGAAUUACUAGUAAUCGUAGAUCAGCGUGCUACGGUGAAUGCGUUCCCGGGUCU